This 492-nucleotide ribosomal RNA is filed under the name uncultured bacterium. RNAcentral's name for it is "partial 16S ribosomal RNA". It matches the Rfam family "Bacterial small subunit ribosomal RNA", at positions 30 to 507 of the family's 1533-position model. The record is from RNAcentral.
AUUGAACGCUGGCGGCAUGCUUUACACAUGCAAGUCGAACGGUAACAGGCCUUCGGGUGCUGACGAGUGGCGAACGGGUGAGUAAUGCAUCGGAACGUACCCAGAGGUGGGGGAUAACGCAGCGAAAGCUGUGCUAAUACCGCAUGUGAUCUGAGGAUGAAAGCGGGGGACCGAGCAGCAAUGUUUGGCCUCGCGCCUUUGGAGCGGCCGAUGUCGGAUUAGCUAGUUGGUGGGGUAAAGGCCUACCAAGGCGACGAUCCGUAGCUGGUCUGAGAGGACGACCAGCCACACUGGGACUGAGAUACGGCCCAGACUCCUACGGGAGGCAGCAGUGGGGAAUUUUGGACAAUGGGCGCAAGCCUGAUCCAGCAAUGCCGCGUGCGGGAAGAAGGCCUUCGGGUUGUAAACCGCUUUUGGCAGGAACGAAACGGUGUCCGCUAAUACCGGGCGCUAAUGACGGUACCUGCAGAAUAAGCACCGGCUAACUACGUG